AUUCAAAGCUCGCGUCCCUUCAAGUUGAAUCUUCCGGCUUUGUGCGAUUUACCCUCUCAAACUUUCUAGUUUGCAAGUCAGAAUUACUUUGAACGUCCCUUCUUCUGGACUCCCCUCCCCAAAGGGACUGGCGGCAAAGGAGAAUAGAACGCAGAUGGUUAAUAGUUCAAAUAAAAUUUAAAAACCUAUAAACCAAUAUUUUUUUAGAGGAGAAAAGCGUUCACCAAACCGCCACCCGGCAAGCGAGCAUCCGAUUUCCAUCCGGAGGAAAAAAUAUUUUAAAAACCAGACAUAAAAUUCCCUUCGCAAGAAAAGUGGCCUCUAAACUCCCUUGCCAAGGACACUGGGAGGAAGUAGAAAAGCAAAGACCAAGCUCGUACUUUUCAGUCCGCUGCUUGUGUGCCGCGAGGAGAGGCGCAAAGGGUGACACACCAGGAAAGCAGGGGUUAGUUAUAGCAGGCAAGAGUGUGGUUAUCGUUGGACCAGGAUUCAGGAUCUGACCGAGUAGCUGACUCUUAAUCCAGUUUGUGUUGAUCACCAGGAGGAUCUGGACCUCAGUGUUAUCAUAUCUAGAGCUAUAAUCACAUCCCUGUUAAGCCUUCCUGAGAUCACAUCAAAUGUCCUUGAUGGGAAUUGUAAACAAACCUUAAUUCUGGUAUCUAAUGAUAUUCCAGGAAAGGAGUCAAACUAGAGUCAGUGAUAUGCCAACUCCACCUUUGCCUUCCACCAUGUUUGGAAGCUCCCUGAGGCCUCACCAGGAGCAGAUGCUCAUCCCAUGCUUCCUAUAAGCCUGCAGAACUGUGAGCCAUAAUAAACUGUGAAUUAUAAAUUGCCUUUAUAGCAAUGCAAAUGGACCAGUACAGACGGGAUGCUGGGAAGACAGUUGUUCCACCUUCAGUAAAGUCCAUGAAACACAGUUGUGACUAUAUUCUAGGCCAGCAAAGAUGCUUGUAUUCAGAAAGGAGUGGUCUCAGGACCAUAGGAACGUGAAGAAAUAAAAAUAAGAAAAUAAAGAAGGGAUUGUCAAUGAAUCAAUUCAUCAAGGUCAAAGUCUUAGGAAAUUCAUGAGGAAGUCUAGGGGGGCUAUGGAAAUGAAAAUUUUUAAACAAAUAGGUAUGUGGUGC
RNAcentral lists this non-coding RNA (1124 nucleotides) under Pongo abelii (Sumatran orangutan). Lineage: Eukaryota; Metazoa; Chordata; Mammalia; Primates; Hominidae. The record is from RNAcentral.